Molecule: transfer RNA, 72 nt
Filed under: Camelus bactrianus (Bactrian camel)
Lineage: Eukaryota; Metazoa; Chordata; Mammalia; Artiodactyla; Camelidae
Also listed under: 1 other name
Rfam family: tRNA
About the family: Transfer RNA (tRNA) molecules are approximately 80 nucleotides in length.
Source: Rfam by way of RNAcentral
GAGGGUAUCGCUUAGUGGUAGAGCAUGUGCUUAGCAUGAAUGAGGUCCUGGGUUCAAUCCCCAGUACCUCCA